UCUAUUAACUGAGCUCUUCGUUCUGCGCCUCUCUAUUACGUUGCCAACAAAGACAGGAUGCUAGCGUUUUGGGACACCAAUAUCCGGAAAAAGCGCAAGCUGGGCAAGUCGAGUGGCUGUGGGGUUCCGCUGCUCAGCUCCUGGUUGAGGGUUCGAUCACAGCCGCGGCAGUCGCACUUCGAUAACGGCCGAAAUGCAAAAACGCUCGUGUACUUUUAGUUUUAGAUGCGUGCGAAAGAACCCCAGGUGGUCAAAAUUAGCCCGUUAGUGCGCCUGCUACAACGCGUCCCAUAAUAAGAUUGUGUCGUUCGGGCACGCAAUUGAAGGCCUAGAAUUUCAUUUUUUUUUCUUCCAAGAGAAACGGUCGAGACGCGCGCUCACGAGUUGCAAGUCAUGCUCGCUGCCGGAGCCCAACGCGAAUGCGAAGGCGGCCACGGAGCCACGGACCGCGAAGGUUCCGUCGGCGGGUUAUAAUAUCGAUAAAACUACGGCGACAGCGCUAACGCCAUUCCGUGUCCAAGAACACAGUGGAAGCAUGUGGAAGCUUCUAGAACAUUCCGAGUUCGGCAACUGUACGCAGGCUGCAACUUUUUUUUCUUCUUUUUAUUCCUUUGUUUUUACCAUCCCCACUCGCGCCGAUCGCGGUGAUAACAGCGGCGCGGCGGCUAGCGAGCCGGUGACGUAGUUCGACAUUAGACCAAUGAGAGCAGAAAAGAAAUUGCCCAGGCGUAUCAACGCAUGCGCCGAAGAGCUUGGCAUUGUGGUCGUCGUGGGCUUAUAUCGAGCAUCCGGGGGCUCGGGCCGCCAUUUUGCCUUUUCUGUCCACUUCGACGUGCCUCGUCUGGGCUGCCUUCUGCGCCUCACCGUACCUCGAGUUCCUGCUGGUCUUAAUUACGCGCUAACAGUGGCAGCGCUUUUCGAAGUUGCACGCUGCGCACGUUCCCGCCUUCGGCCGACUCUGGAAGCACUGGCUUCAUGCCCCGGGCCUGCAAGACGUGAGGCACGCCUCGAGAGACUUGUAGCCCGACCCGCCCGCUGUCUCGGCAAUUCCUGGCCCCGCUUUCGAGCUCCCGGAGUGUAAGUGACCGCCAGCCGGCAUACCUACGUUACUAUACGCCGACGACACUCCGGUCGAGCCGGCGCAGCGUAUGUAAGCCGCAAGUCGUUCCUGCCGAGUACUCGUUCUUUUGUUUGUGCGCGCGCGUUUCCACCCCCCGACGGCGCCGGGACUAUGGAACUGUGGAUGAACUCUGAGCGUGGCCACUAACCCCAGGACCUGCACGGCAACCCCUCGUCACGGCGAGCGUCGUCUCUACGAGCUUCGCAUCGAGCGUCCUAAACGCUCAAAAGGCCUGUGUGUGCACUUCGUGCAUUUUUUUCUAGAUGGUCUAGCUGGCGAGGGUGGCGCAUGCCUUAGAGAAGUUAACUGUUUGUUCAGUUGCACUAGCUAGCGCUCACUAGGGUUGUAUAGCUACACUACAAAAUUGCGUAAUGUUAGUGUUGCUUAGCUGUAAGCCCGAGGUUUCGUGGGCAUGGCUUGCGGCCACACGGGUCUUCUCCGUGCCGGAAUCGAAGAGGACGGGCCACGUGUUGCGGGGUGGCGGCGUAUAGCUUCAGGUUUUAGCUGACACACAGGGUUAGCUUACACUGUGCAGGCUACAGCUGAUAGCCGUCCUCUUACGAUUGCGUCAGGGACAUGGACCCAUCCGAACGGCCUUGCGACCCGACCCCACUAUUUCGUGACGUAGAUAGCCCGCGCGCGUCAGUGCGCGUGCUAUUGAGCGAAAUGUGGAAUGACGGAAGCAAACGGCAUUCGGACAUUACCUCGCCAGCUAUUAGGCACUAACCCGCUCUACGCAGCACCUCGACGCCGGACGUCGCCUGCUGUUUUCGUCGGAGCUGGGCCGGGCAGCAGCUACAAGCAUCACUCGUACCGCGCGCGGCCUACCGUGUUCACUCGUCGGUGUGGCCUUGUGGCCCUGCACCGGGUAAGUACCACGUACAGAUGAAUAGUAGUACAUCUGUGUUCUCGAGUGCUUAAAAAAAAAAAAAAAUCUUGUUGUCGUUUCAGGAUCCCGAGGUCCGCUUUCGAGAUUGCGGACCACGAGUAUGAAGGAUAUCCAGUGUGCUGCUCCACGUUUGCCAUCCUCCCAACGUCCCCCACCGGAGAUGGCCUUGAGCACCUCUUACCGUGGCUGACCGCGUUGGCUCCUUUGCAUUUCCACGUCCAUGGCGUCCUUCUGCUACGGGGGACUUCGUUUGCUACUGCUGCCCACGUGUAAGGUGGAUAUCCAGCGCGCUGCUCCACGUUUGCCAUCCUCCCAACGUCCCCAUUAGGAUAUGGCCUAGAGCACCGCUCCUACCGUGACCGACCGUUCCCCUUCGCCGGUGCGGUCUCGCUGGCAGACGAGAUUGCUCAUCGCCCUUCUUUGC
Dermacentor andersoni is the source of this 2433-nucleotide long non-coding RNA. RefSeq lists it as uncharacterized. The record is from RefSeq and is a predicted model, not a curated record. Lineage: Eukaryota; Metazoa; Arthropoda; Arachnida; Ixodida; Ixodidae.